AAAGCAGGCCGUUCUGUCGCUGUGGCCUUGUGCCACAGAGGAAAGUCCGGGCAACAUAGGGCAUCCCGCUCAUGAAAGGUGAGGUAUCCGUGAGGGUAUGGUAGCAGAGAAGAGAAUGACUGCCCGCCUUUGCCGAGGCUUCGGUGGGUUAAACCCGCCUUCUCCAAGGCUUUGGCGGGUAAAGGUGAGAAGGUGGGGUAAGGGCCCACCAGUUCUGGUGGCAACACCAGGAGCUGUCUGCCCCGGGAGUUGCAAGACCAAAUAUAUCCUGAGAGCUUCGGCAUACGGCUGCUCGCUGUAUUUUUCCGGCUUGCCCGGAAUGCUCAGGAGGGGUAGGUUGCGAAGAUAAAUGACAGAAAACGGCCAUAGUCAUUGACUACGGCCGUUACAGAACCCGGCUUACAGGCCUGCUUUUUUU
Molecule: RNase P RNA, 418 nt
Filed under: Prolixibacteraceae bacterium
Lineage: Bacteria; Pseudomonadati; Bacteroidota; Bacteroidia; Marinilabiliales; Prolixibacteraceae
Description: RNase P RNA component class A
Rfam family: Bacterial RNase P class A
About the family: Ribonuclease P (RNase P) is a ubiquitous endoribonuclease, found in archaea, bacteria and eukarya as well as chloroplasts and mitochondria. Its best characterised activity is the generation of mature 5'-ends of tRNAs by cleaving the 5'-leader elements of precursor-tRNAs.
Source: RNAcentral